AGCGAACCGGGAAGAGCCCAGCUUGAAAAU
RNAcentral lists this small nuclear RNA (30 nucleotides) under Arabidopsis thaliana (thale cress). RNAcentral's name for it is "snRNA_18013". Lineage: Eukaryota; Viridiplantae; Streptophyta; Magnoliopsida; Brassicales; Brassicaceae. The record is from RNAcentral.